Molecule: transfer RNA, 68 nt
Filed under: Marmota monax (woodchuck)
Lineage: Eukaryota; Metazoa; Chordata; Mammalia; Rodentia; Sciuridae
Description: tRNA.Ala
Rfam family: tRNA (bases 5-65)
About the family: Transfer RNA (tRNA) molecules are approximately 80 nucleotides in length. Their secondary structure includes four short double-helical elements and three loops (D, anti-codon, and T loops). Further hydrogen bonds mediate the characteristic L-shaped molecular structure. tRNAs have two regions of fundamental functional importance: the anti-codon, which is responsible for specific mRNA codon recognition, and the 3' end, to which the tRNAs corresponding amino acid is attached (by aminoacyl-tRNA synthetases). tRNAs cope with the degeneracy of the genetic code in two manners: having more than one tRNA (with a specific anti-codon) for a particular amino acid; and 'wobble' base-pairing, i.e. permitting non-standard base-pairing at the 3rd anti-codon position.
Source: RNAcentral
GGAUUGUGGCUCAGUGGUAGAGCGCUUGGCUAGCAUGCAUGAAGCACUGGGUUCGAUCCACAGCACCA